UUCUCCUUCUUCACCACACUGAUAUCAACCCUCCGUUAAUGCAGUAAAACAGCGAGCACGCCGAUCCCCAAGUGUAAAAGUAACGUUACUCAGAUUAGUAACUGUAAUAUAAUCACUGAAUUUCAAAUUGUAAUCCCUCACACUACUGUCACUGAAAAAGUAUUAAUAUUACUGUGACGUAUUACAAAGUAACCCUGCUGUUGAGUGCAGAAUGAGAAAGGCUGAUGAUUUUCUCCAAAACAAGAAGGUUCUUUUCCAUAACUGUCAAUACAAACCAGGUUUCCUCUGCAUCCAUCACCGUGGCAGCACCAGACAAACCAAUCUCCUCCCUGUCUGUUCUCAUUGCAUCACACUCAUCCAACAAGCAGCUUCAUCAGCCGGCCCGGCUUUCAUGAAGACACACGGAGGACAGAUCAUCUCGCACUGAGAUGGACUACCGGAGGCGCAGUGGACCCUGGGAAACAAAGUGGCUUGCACUCUGGAUGACGGCCUCUCUCUUGCGAUGAUGAUGGUGACCACCCGACUGUGUGGAGUUGUCGCAUCCCCAUGAUGUGGUUCUGUUCCAGCAAGCACUGGGAGCCAACUGUGAAGCAGCCGGGAUUGAGAGUCAGCACUUCCGAAUCUGAGGCCAUGCUGCUCUGCCGGAAAAAGGUGGACUGCUCCCUCUGGAUUGGGAAGGAGUUGCUGCACCAAGCGAAGGAGUUCAAGUAUCUCUGGGUUAUAUUCAGGGUAUGAGGGUAAGAUGGAGCGUGAGGUUGACAGGCAGAUCAGUGCAGCAUCAGCAGUAAUGCAGGCGUUGUACUGGACCGUUGUGGUGAAGAAAUUACCGGUCAGUAUAUGUUUCAACCCUCACCUAUUGUGGGGCUGUCUUUGUACAUGUGUUGUCUCUCCAUUGUGGGAUAUCUCCUGCAGCAUCAUUUGUGGGAGGUUUAUGUUUAUGUUUUAUGUAUUGUGCUGUUAGAUUAUGGUUGGUCAAAAUGCGGGAAUGUUUGAUUUGUUGGUAGUUAAUGUGUUUGUAUUAUUCCAUGAGGGAUGUGUCAUGUAAAUGACCAGACAUGAAAAUAAAAGUAUUGAUUAAUUAAUUAA
Thunnus maccoyii (southern bluefin tuna) is the source of this 1086-nucleotide long non-coding RNA. RefSeq lists it as uncharacterized. The transcript is spliced from 4 exons. Lineage: Eukaryota; Metazoa; Chordata; Actinopteri; Scombriformes; Scombridae. The record is from RefSeq and is a predicted model, not a curated record.